UACGGAGGGUGCAAGCGUUAUCCGGAUUCACUGGGUUUAAAGGGUGCGUAGGCGGGCUUGUAAGUCAGUGGUGAAAGCCCGGAGCUUAACUCCGGAACUGCCAUUGAUACUGCAAAUCUUGAGUACACUUGAGGUGGGCGGAAUACAUCAUGUAGUGGUGAAAUACUUAGAUAUGAUGUAGAACACCGAUUGCGAAGGCAGCUCACUAAAUUGUAACUGACGCUGAGGCACGAAAGCGUGGGGAUCAAACAGG
This 253-nucleotide ribosomal RNA is filed under the name uncultured bacterium. RNAcentral describes it as "partial 16S ribosomal RNA". It matches the Rfam family "Bacterial small subunit ribosomal RNA", at positions 524 to 776 of the family's 1533-position model. The record is from RNAcentral.